GACAGGCAGCUAGAAUUUUUAGGUGCUUUAAAAAGGUAGAUUACAAAACAUUGUCAGAUCUAGUAGAGGUGACCGAAGAUUAGUGCGUUCUGUAUGAAAAUAGUACUGUGAAGGAAUAGCAUAAGUUAGUAGUUAGAAGUGGUUUAAAUACGUACCUUUUGCAUCAUGGCUUAACUAGAUUAACUUCAGAAUUGAAGUUCUCGAAAUCUGAUGAGCUAUCUUUAUUCUGCUUUAUAGGUCAUGUUAAUUAAUAAGUUGGUUGUGGCAAAAACUUCUUAAGAAGUAAAGAUAGAUAUGAAAUUUUAUUCGCAUCGGAUGAUAGCUAGUUCUUCCUUAAUGACAUAUCAGUGUCUUAGGUUUUAGUAAAGUUUUACAGUUUAGUGUUGUAGAUAGCUAGUAGUAAGCCUAAUCAGACUUUUGAGGAUAAGCUCGAAAGUUUUAGAUACUUGCAUUUAAUUUUUUGUAAAAUAUAAGCUUAGUAAUGGCUAUUAAAUAGAGGAUUUUGUUAUAAUUCAUGUUCUAAUUAACAAUAUAAUUUAUUUGCUUCACGAGUAAGGAGGAAAUUUUAUUAACUCUAGGUAAAAUGAUUCUAUGUUAAGAUGAGUAUUAAAUUAGUUAUGAGUAGUGUUAAUAGAAUAAAAUUUAAAUUUACAUUAGUGAUAUCAAUACUAAACCAUGAAAAGGAACUCGGCAACUCUGUAUUCUGCCUGUUUAUCAAAAACAUGGCUUCGUGUCGUCUAUAAAUACGAAGUCGGACCUGCCCAGUGAGUUUUAAACGGCCGCGGUACUCUGACCGUGCAAAGGUAGCAUAAUCAUUUGCCUUAUAAUUGAAGGCUGGAAUGAAUGGUUUGACAAGAAUACAUCUGUCUCUUCAUGGUUAUUUAGAAUUUUAUUUUUAGAUGAAAAAGUCUAGAUGUUAUUAAAAGACAAGAAGACCCUAUCGAGCUUCAGAAAAAUUAACAGGAAUAUUAGAGCUCUAUAUCAGUAAAAGAAAGGCUGUUAAAUACUUUGGUUGGGGCAACCUAGGAGUAAGUAAAGCCUCCUAAUUAUAAUAAGUCGGACCUGUGUUGAUCCAAUAAUAAUGAUCAAAGGAAUUAGUUACCGUAGGGAUAACAGCAUUAUCUUUUUCAAGAGCCCAUAUCGAAAAAAAGGUUUGUGACCUCGAUGUUGGACCAGAAUAUCCUAAAGAUGCAGAAGUCUUUAAGGGUUGGUCUGUUCGACCAUUAAAAUUCUACGUGAUCUGAGUUCAGACCGGCGUGAGCCAGGUCAGUUUCUAUCUUUAUAUUUUUUGACUGUGUUUAGUACGAAAGGACCGAUGCAGUGUAUAAAAUGCUACAGGCAGACUAAGUAUAAUUUUUCAUUAAAAUCAAAUUAGCAAAGAAUUAUGCGAUUGACUUAGGAUCAAUA
RNAcentral lists this ribosomal RNA (1407 nucleotides) under Conus miles. RNAcentral describes it as "16S ribosomal RNA". It matches the Rfam family "Bacterial large subunit ribosomal RNA", at positions 428 to 2853 of the family's 2925-position model. Lineage: Eukaryota; Metazoa; Mollusca; Gastropoda; Neogastropoda; Conidae. The record is from RNAcentral.